AUGGGAAGAGCAGGCUUUUGCAGAACCUUCCGCAGGGAAACCCUCGGGAAAGCAGAGUUCACUAUGAGGAAUGGCUGUGCCCUGCCUUCCCGCACCGAGCCCCGACUCUGUGCCUCCCUGCCCGGGCUCAGGGUGUCGCGGAGGGACGCGGGGCUGGAUGGAGCCGGUGCAGGCCUGAGGGCGCUGAGGCGGCCAUCGCUGCGGCUGCGCCGGGGACACGAGAAGCGAGGGAGCCCGAGCUGCGGAAAGCAUACUCUGGGACGUCAGAGAGGAAGGGAAACUUUCUCAAGGAAGAAGUUGCUUCAGUUUCUACCCUGUGUACCCUCAUGUGAAUGGCUAGGCAAGGGGUUAUCAGCUGGUCUGGCUUCCCCUUCAGCAUCCCCCCCAGCUGCUGAUACCAGGGGGAAGUGGGAGAGAAACAGGGACAGCUUUACCAAAACACUCCUGACUUCCCUUCCUCUUCAACAUGUCCCUCCCUGUCUCCGCCUGGGAAACAAAAAGCUCUUCAAGCUUCACCUGUUUUUAGUGCAGAGGAGAAAAACAGAAGCACGUAUUUCCUAA
Molecule: long non-coding RNA, 561 nt
Filed under: Cyanistes caeruleus (blue tit)
Lineage: Eukaryota; Metazoa; Chordata; Aves; Passeriformes; Paridae
Description: lncRNA (ENSCCEG00000015869.1)
Source: RNAcentral